AAAGGUGCAAGAGGACUCCUC
Molecule: non-coding RNA, 21 nt
Filed under: Arabidopsis thaliana (thale cress)
Lineage: Eukaryota; Viridiplantae; Streptophyta; Magnoliopsida; Brassicales; Brassicaceae
Source: RNAcentral